RNAcentral lists this ribosomal RNA (506 nucleotides) under uncultured bacterium. Its description in RNAcentral is "partial 16S ribosomal RNA". It matches the Rfam family "Bacterial small subunit ribosomal RNA", at positions 30 to 523 of the family's 1533-position model. The record is from RNAcentral.
AUUGAACGCUGGCGGCAUGCCUUACACAUGCAAGUCGAACGGCAGCAUGAUCUAGCUUGCUAGAUUGAUGGCGAGUGGCGAACGGGUGAGUAAUACAUCGGAACGUGCCCUGUAGUGGGGGAUAACUAGUCGAAAGAUUAGCUAAUACCGCAUACGACCUGAGGGUGAAAGUGGGGGACCGCAAGGCCUCAUGCUAUAGGAGCGGCCGAUGUCUGAUUAGCUAGUUGGUGGGGUAAAGGCCCACCAAGGCGACGAUCAGUAGCUGGUCUGAGAGGACGAUCAGGCACACUGGGACUGAGACACGGCCCAGACUCCUACGGGAGGCAGCAGUGGGGAAUUUUGGACAAUGGGGGCAACCCUGAUCCAGCAAUGCCGCGUGUGUGAAGAAGGCCUUCGGGUUGUAAAGCACUUUUGUCCGGAAAGAAAUCGCACUUACUAAUAUUAGGUGUGGAUGACGGUACCGGAAGAAUAAGGACCGGCUAACUACGUGCCAGCAGCCGCAGUAA